GGGACUGGUCUCAAAGAACCAAUUCUGUGAUGGUUUUGUCCAUUUAGACGGAAACAAUAAGGCCCACCUCCAUUAUUAUUCCAGAGAAAGGUGGGAGGAUGCGUGAGGAGAGGAAAUUUGACAGAGCCUUUUCGACAGCAUAAUGAGAAAGCUGGAUUUUCAGACCUAGAAGUACACAACAAAUAGCAAUGUUAUACAACAAAUGACAAUAUCAAUGUCAACA
This is a long non-coding RNA of Asparagus officinalis (garden asparagus), 223 nucleotides long. RefSeq lists it as uncharacterized. The record is from RefSeq and is a predicted model, not a curated record. NCBI's taxonomy places the organism in Eukaryota, Viridiplantae, Streptophyta, Magnoliopsida, Asparagales, Asparagaceae. The transcript has 3 exons.